Molecule: long non-coding RNA, 1133 nt
Organism: Cyprinus carpio carpio
Lineage: Eukaryota; Metazoa; Chordata; Actinopteri; Cypriniformes; Cyprinidae
Source: Ensembl
UACAGCAUUUUGAAACAUAAUUCAAAAUGGCCGACACCUAAAAUGGCCGACACGGGAAAAUUGGAUAUCAUUCGACUUGACAUGACCCACCGAAUCUAAUGAGACCAGUUUUGUGAUUUUUGGCCAAACCAUUCAGAAGUUAUAAGCAAAAAUAUGCAUUUUUCAUAUCUCCUGACCACUAGGUGGCGCUGCGUCGAAACACUGCAGGAAGUCUCAGGUCAUGCUUGUUAUAACACACACCAAGUUUUGUCUCAAUACGCCCAACCGUUGCAGAGUUAUAGCCUCACAAGCAUUUUUGCGUGCUUUUCGUAGAAUUUUUUCGCGUGGUAUUCGAGAACGGUUGGACGAAUCAACUUGAAUUCCAUAACUUUUUGCCAGUAUGGUCUGAAGAUGAUUUGAGCCAAUUUUCAUGAAAAUCGGACUAACCGUCUAGGACGAGUUCGAAAAAGUAGGUUUUUCGAACAAUUGAAAAUAGCGAAAAAACUAAACCUUGCGAUUUUUGAAUUUUGGGGUUCAUUCGACUUGGCAUGAGCCAAGGAUUCAGAGGAAAAAAGAAUUUUAAUUUUGUGGCUUACGGUUCAAAAGUUAUUAGCAUAAAAAUAUUGAAAUUUUGGACAAGUGGUGGCGCUAGAGAGUUGGAGUUAGAGACUUCAAAUUUGCUAUAUUUAAUGCUGGGACUGUCCUCUAUCAGUGUGCAAAAUUAUACAACUUUCCCGCAAUCGGUUCUAUGGGCUGCCAUAGACUUGCGGCGGAAGAAGAAGAAGAAGAAGAAGAAGAAGAAGAAGAAGAAGAAGAAGAAGAAGAAGAAGAAGAAGAAGAAGAAUAACGCCAACGGAUACAAUAGGUGCCUACGCACCUUCGGUGCUUGGCCCCUAAUAAUAAUAACGCCAACGGAUACAAUAGGUGCCUACGCACCUUCGGUGCUUGGCCCCUAAAUAUAGCUGCAAGCAGCAAUUACGGGGCCAAGCACUCCAGCGGCAAAUUGAGGAGCUAAGCAUGGCAUGGAGCAUCACACCAAAUGCAACAAUGAGCAAUUACAGCAAUUUUAGGAUGAUUGUAAUUGAAAUGGUGGAAAAAUCAUAAAUACAAGCACUGGUAAUAUGAUUAAAUGGCUUAUCACUUUUGACCAACAG